GCAUUGAAGACUGGGAGACAUGAGUACCGAAGAGGAAGAUGGAAUUCCAUGUGUAGCGGUGAAAUGCGUAAAGAUAUGGAGGAACACCAGUGGCGAAGGCGACUUUCUGGUCUGUAACUGACACUGAGGCGCGAAAGCGUGGGGAGCAAACAGGAUUAGAUACCCUGGUAGUCCACGCCGUAAACGAUGAGUGCUAAGUGUUAGAGGGUUUCCGCCCUUUAGUGCUGAAGUUAACGCAUUAAGCA
This 245-nucleotide ribosomal RNA is filed under the name Bacillus sp. I9900166. RNAcentral describes it as "partial 16S ribosomal RNA". It matches the Rfam family "Bacterial small subunit ribosomal RNA", at positions 623 to 866 of the family's 1533-position model. The record is from RNAcentral. Lineage: Bacteria; Bacillati; Bacillota; Bacilli; Caryophanales; Bacillaceae.